Paramuricea clavata is the source of this 83-nucleotide non-coding RNA. Lineage: Eukaryota; Metazoa; Cnidaria; Anthozoa; Malacalcyonacea; Plexauridae. The record is from the annotation of a GenBank genome assembly.
AUGGUAUGGUAUGGUAAGUGUGGUAUGGUAUGGUAUGGCGUACCAUACCAUACCAUACCACACCUUACCAUACCAAACCAUAU